Molecule: ribosomal RNA, 493 nt
Filed under: uncultured bacterium
Lineage: Bacteria
Description: partial 16S ribosomal RNA
Rfam family: Bacterial small subunit ribosomal RNA
Source: RNAcentral
GACGAACGCUGGCGGCGUGCUUAACACAUGCAAGUCGAACGGUGAAGGGACCGGUUUUUGCUGGUUCUGGAUGAGUGGCGCACGGGCGAGUAACACGUGAGUAACCUGCCCCCUUCUUCUGGAUAACCGCAUGAAAGUGUGGCUAAUACGGGAUAUUCUGCGCCUGCUGCAUGGUGGGUGUGGGAAAGAUAUUGUUUCGGUGGGGGAUGGGCUCGCGGCCUAUCAGCUUGUUGGUGGGGUGAUGGCCUACCAAGGCGGUGACGGGUAGCCGGCCUGAGAGGGUGGACGGUCACACUGGGACUGAGACACGGCCCAGACUCCUACGGGAGGCAGCAGUGGGGAAUAUUGCACAAUGGGCGCAAGCCUGAUGCAGCGACGCCGCGUGAGGGAUGGAGGCCUUCGGGUUGUAAACCUCUUUCGCCAGUGAAGCAGGCCUGUCCCUUUUGUGGGUGGGUUGACGGUAGCUGGAUAAGAAGCGCCGGCUAACUACGUG